This 58-nucleotide transfer RNA is filed under the name Impressosora ruficollis. RNAcentral's name for it is "Eutrapela ruficollis tRNA-Ser". The record is from RNAcentral. Lineage: Eukaryota; Metazoa; Arthropoda; Insecta; Coleoptera; Tenebrionidae.
GAAAUAUUUUAAAAAUAAGCUUCUAACUUAAUUUUUAAGCAUUAAUGUUUGUAUUUCU